CAAGUUGAAAAUGGCCAGAACUCUUGAGCAAAAUGGAGUCACAUAGCAAAAGAAUUUGUAAAGGUAAAAGAAAAGGGGGAGGGGAGGGCUUGAUAUGAGGAAAGCUAGUGCCUGGAAAACAUAGGGUUAAAGUACUUUUAGCUUAACUUAGGUCAAAGAUAAAGAACAAUUUUUGUGUUUUCUGUGGUGAGAUAACAGGAUUUAGUGGUCCCAGUAAACAUGAGUGAAUUAUUUCACACCAUCCUUCUACUUAUCAGUUUGGAGACACUGCCUCCUGAACAUCUGCUAGUUUUGGAUGCUCCUUGUCUGCCUGUCCUGUUUUGCUUGCAAUAAAUUUUGUACGAAGGUCACACUGUUCUAAAUCUUUGCCAGCUAUCAGAAAAAUUACAGAUAUGGCUGGUUUCAGCUAGUUUUGUGAUUACUGCGGCAUCCAACUGUACCAAAGGUGAAAAGUACACCAUGAGGAAGACUGCUUACUUCAUCUUGAAGACCCCUGCCCGCAUGAGGAAGACUGCUUACUUCAUCCUCAAUACCCCUGCCCACGAUCACCAGAGAGCAGUGCACAGACGCCAAGAGGAGGAGACUUAUGAUAAUAAGUUCCUGGAGCUUGUUAUAAUAUUCCCCGCCUAUACCCAGGAAUUAUGAAUAUGUAUAUGGCUAAUGCAAUAGUGAAAGUAUAUAAACCUGUAACAAAUGCUAAUCAGUACGCCUCUGGUUACGGUCAUGCGCCCAGCGCUGUUGCUUUUGCUUUAUUAACUAUGUCCCUCAAUAAAACCCUGUUAUCUC
This is a long non-coding RNA of Pezoporus flaviventris, 786 nucleotides long. RefSeq lists it as uncharacterized. The record is from RefSeq and is a predicted model, not a curated record. NCBI's taxonomy places the organism in Eukaryota, Metazoa, Chordata, Aves, Psittaciformes, Psittacidae. The transcript is spliced from 2 exons.